RNAcentral lists this ribosomal RNA (1746 nucleotides) under Providencia rettgeri. Its description in RNAcentral is "partial 23S ribosomal RNA". It matches the Rfam family "Bacterial large subunit ribosomal RNA", at positions 1223 to 2925 of the family's 2925-position model. The record is from RNAcentral. Lineage: Bacteria; Pseudomonadati; Pseudomonadota; Gammaproteobacteria; Enterobacterales; Morganellaceae.
GUUGGGUAGGGGAGCGUUCUGUAAGCCUGUGAAGGUGUGCUGUGAGGCAUGCUGGAGGUAUCAGAAGUGCGAAUGCUGACAUAAGUAACGAUAAUGCGGGUGAAAAACCCGCACGCCGGAAGACCAAGGGUUCCUGUCCAACGUUAAUCGGGGCAGGGUGAGUCGACCCCUAAGGCGAGGCAGAAAUGCGUAGUCGAUGGGAAACGGGUUAAUAUUCCCGUACUGGUGAUAAUUGCGAUGGGGGGACGGAGAAGGCUAGGCUAUCCGGGCGACGGUUGUCCCGGUUUAAGGAUGUAGGCAGGUGAAUUAGGCAAAUCCGGUUCACUAUAUGCUGAGGUCCGACGACGAGUCACUACGGUGAUGAAGUAGCUCAUGCCCCGCUUCCAGGAAAAGCCUCUAAGCUCUAGAUUAUCAUUAAUCGUACCCCAAACCGACACAGGUGGUCAGGUAGAGAAUACUCAGGCGCUUGAGAGAACUCGGGUGAAGGAACUAGGCAAAAUGGUGCCGUAACUUCGGGAGAAGGCACGCUGGCAUUAGGUGAAGUGGUUUACCCAUGGAGCUGAAGCCAGUCGCAGAUACCAGCUGGCUGCAACUGUUUAUUAAAAACACAGCACUGUGCAAACACGAAAGUGGACGUAUACGGUGUGACGCCUGCCCGGUGCUGGAAGGUUAAUUGAUGGGGUUAUCCGUAAGGAGAAGCUCUUGAUCGAAGCCCCAGUAAACGGCGGCCGUAACUAUAACGGUCCUAAGGUAGCGAAAUUCCUUGUCGGGUAAGUUCCGACCUGCACGAAUGGCGUAAUGAUGGCCAGGCUGUCUCCACCCGAGACUCAGUGAAAUUGAACUCGCUGUGAAGAUGCAGUGUACCCGCGGCAAGACGGAAAGACCCCGUGAACCUUUACUAUAGCUUGACACUGAACAUUGAGCCUUGAUGUGUAGGAUAGGUGGGAGGCUUUGAAGUGUGGACGCCAGUCUGCAUGGAGCCAACCUUGAAAUACCACCCUUUAAUGUUUGAUGUUCUAACGUUGCCCCGUUAUCCGGGGUGCGGACAGUGUCUGGUGGGUAGUUUGACUGGGGCGGUCUCCUCCCAAAGAGUAACGGAGGAGCACGAAGGUUGGCUAAGCAUGGUCGGACAUCAUGCGGUUAGUGCAAAGGCAUAAGCCAGCUUGACUGCGAGAGUGACGGCUCGAGCAGGUACGAAAGUAGGUCUUAGUGAUCCGGUGGUUCUGAAUGGAAGGGCCAUCGCUCAACGGAUAAAAGGUACUCCGGGGAUAACAGGCUGAUACCGCCCAAGAGUUCAUAUCGACGGCGGUGUUUGGCACCUCGAUGUCGGCUCAUCACAUCCUGGGGCUGAAGUAGGUCCCAAGGGUACGGCUGUUCGCCGUUUAAAGUGGUACGCGAGCUGGGUUUAGAACGUCGUGAGACAGUUCGGUCCCUAUCUGCCGUGGGCGUUGGAAGAUUGAAAGGGGCUGCUCCUAGUACGAGAGGACCGGAGUGGACGCACCACUGGUGUUCGGGUUGUCAUGCCAAUGGCAUUGCCCGGUAGCUAAGUGCGGAAGAGAUAACCGCUGAAAGCAUCUAAGCGGGAAACUUGCCUUGAGAUGAGUCUUCCCUGACUCUUUAAGAGUCCUAAAGGAACGUUUAAGACUAAGACGUUGAUAGGUUGGGUGUGUAAGCGUAGCGAUACGUUGAGCUAACCAAUACUAAUGAACCGUGAGGCUUAACCUGACAACACCGAAGGUGUUUUAG